RNAcentral lists this long non-coding RNA (1042 nucleotides) under Pogona vitticeps (central bearded dragon). Its description in RNAcentral is "lncRNA (ENSPVIG00000002189.1)". Lineage: Eukaryota; Metazoa; Chordata; Lepidosauria; Squamata; Agamidae. The record is from RNAcentral.
GAUGAUCCAUAGGGUUACUUCUAUCUCUGAAGUUCUAAGAUGCUGCUGCUGCUGCUGCUGAUGAUGUUGAAUCUUAAAUUGAGGACCUCUUUAGCCAAAAAUCCUAAAUGACUCCCUGAAUUAUAAGUCCUAUGGAACCAUAGAAGUUAUGGUAUUAUCAAACUGCUUUAAGGGUCUAGUCUGUACACAGUCUUAGAGCAGAUGCACUGAAAUUAAUCAGAUUUUAAUUAGGUAUGGUUUUUAUGUCAUGCAAGCAUAAGUUCAGAUCUAGCCCUGUGAACCUAUUUCUCUGAAUUUCAUAACAUCCUGGCUGUUAAAAUGGUAUGAUUUCUUUGCCAUCCCUCCUGCUUUACAGGAUGUCAGUGUUUUUCUUCAGUGCUGCAGUGUACUAUGUCACCUAGAGCAAAUUGGACAUUACACAGAAGUGUGCAUAAUAUUACCAUGAAGAAGCUAUUUUAAAGAGAAAGCAUGCAUCUCUGCUCAUGUUUAAUUGUACAAUAAUUCUCCCAGUUGGUUUAGUAUUAACUCCCUUUUCCUCUCAAAUCUUUAGAACAGUAGUUGAGAAACAGAAGAAUAAGAAUCAUAGAAUUCUCAUCAGCCAUAAAUGACUCAACAGCUAGAUUCAAGAUUUCAAUGAGGAGCCCAUGUGCAUUCAGAUGAUACCGAUCCCAGCCUGUAAUGAUGCACUGUGCUGCACUGCGUGGCAAACUUCAAGCACUGAGAGAAAAGUGGUAAAAGCAAGAAAAGUGCACAUGCUCCUAUGGGCAGUCUUUGUAACACUGAAAGAGCUUCUCCUGCCUUUAAGACUUGCAUGUCAUCUUCCCAUGGGAGAGAUGCAGUAUUCUCACUUUGAACAUUUCCUGGCAACGCAAAAUCCCAAUGGUAUGAAACAAAACAUCUGAAUGACGAAAUUAAGCUAUCUAGUGGAUCGUGGUGAUGACAACCAUUAGGACACAAGAAAUAGUAAAGUGGCUGACAGUAGUAGAAAACUGCUGGCAUAUUAGGCCAAAACCAAAAUAAAAAUAAAAAAUAAAGAAAACCA